CGGGGCGAGACUUAGAAACCCCGCGCCCGGUUGUGUUAAUAGCACUGCUUUUGGCCGAGCAGGGCGGUUAGUGAAUC
Prevotellaceae bacterium KH2P17 is the source of this 77-nucleotide regulatory RNA element. It matches the Rfam family "L13-Bacteroidia ribosomal protein leader". The record is from Rfam. NCBI's taxonomy places the organism in Bacteria, Pseudomonadati, Bacteroidota, Bacteroidia, Bacteroidales, Prevotellaceae.